ACGUCAUUUUCUCCAAAGGACAAAGCCACAGAGUCUUUUCUCCAUGCCGCUUUCCUACUCCCUCUCCCUGCUGAUCUCGCGGCGACCGUCUUGGCUCCUCCUAGCCCCCAGUGUCGACCGCCCCUGCUCCUCUCCAUCCAUGGCUGUGCUCGGCCUCCACCUCAAGCCGUGCCCUAGGAUCGUCUUCCAGCACCCCCUUCACACCCUUGCCUCCAGCUCGCCAGCACCCUCCGUUCGGCCGGCCAUGGCCACCUCGCCGAGGCCCCAGCCACGACGUCAUCCCCCGCUAGCUAUCGAAGUCGUGCCUCGCAUACCGCCUAUUCGAUGAAAUGCCCAAACCUGUGGACUGUCGACACCACAUCUGCUCCCUCUCCUAACACCCUGUCGCAAUUUCGUGUGUUGCCGGUGAGACAUCGGUUUUCUUCUAUUCAAUUAGUUCUUUGCUUGGUGUCAAUGGUUAACUGCGGUUUAUGUUUGUGUACUGGUGUGUGGUUUGGAGGAGAGGAAUCCCAUAUGUGUGAGGACAGGCAAUCCGUGCAAUAGUUGUUUGAUGUUUGGGGUUAUGCAAAUCGGAAAUCGUCAUCAUUAUCCCAAAUAUUGAUUUGGUUUAUGAUAUGGUACGUUAAUUGAUCACAUGCUAUGGAAGACGAGUGGAAUUGAUCUCCAAGUGAUGCUGAUGGACGAAGCUAAAAUGGAUGAAUCAACCAAGUGCCAGGAUAGAAGAUGCUCACCAAGUGGUCGUCAAUUAACAACACUAACUUAGUGUUAUCCCAG
Zea mays is the source of this 774-nucleotide long non-coding RNA. RefSeq lists it as uncharacterized. The transcript is spliced from 3 exons. Lineage: Eukaryota; Viridiplantae; Streptophyta; Magnoliopsida; Poales; Poaceae. The record is from RefSeq and is a predicted model, not a curated record.